AUGCCUUUAUACACCAUGCCAUGCCCACCGCCACCAAGGAUCCGAUUAUGGUCAAAUUUGUUGGUUGCUUGCUCUAGCUCGUGUAAGCUGAAAAUCUUCAUCUUUUCGGCUAUAUCUUUGUUUGAAGAGAUCAACUGUUGCAGAAGCAAUCCAUGGUUUUUCCUAAAGAACUUUUGUCUAAACUUCUUGGCUCUUCGUUUCUUGAGUUUUUUCAUGACUUGGGCAACACCUAGGAGUGAAAACAGUAGGCCAAAACCAACAACAAUUGCUGUUAUGGUAAAUGGACCUGCAGAAAACAAACGUAAGAUUGAGAACAAUAUUUGUUGUGUUCACUUCAAGAAGUCAAGCUACUACAUUAAAUCUAUUUUAGACUUCUCAAAUAUGCGAUGA
Molecule: ribosomal RNA, 390 nt
Filed under: Triticum aestivum (bread wheat)
Lineage: Eukaryota; Viridiplantae; Streptophyta; Magnoliopsida; Poales; Poaceae
Description: partial small subunit ribosomal RNA
Source: RNAcentral